This 479-nucleotide ribosomal RNA is filed under the name uncultured bacterium. RNAcentral's name for it is "bacterial SSU rRNA". It matches the Rfam family "Bacterial small subunit ribosomal RNA", at positions 24 to 507 of the family's 1533-position model. The record is from RNAcentral.
UCAGGAUGAACGCUAGCGGCAGGCCUAAUACAUGCAAGUCGAACGCUCAGUAGCAAUACUGGGAGUGGCGCACGGGUGCGUAACGCGUACACAAUCUACCUCUAAGCGGGGGACACCUCCUGGAAACGGGGAUUAAUACCGCAUAAUAUGCCGAAGUCGCAUGACUUUGGAUUAAAGCAGCAAUGCACUUAGAGAUGAGUGUGCGUCCCAUUAGGUAGUUGGUGAGGUAACGGCUCACCAAGCCUAUGAUGGGUAGCCGGUCUGAGAGGAUGGUCGGCCACACGGGCACUGAGACACGGGCCCGACUCCUACGGGAGGCAGCAGUAAGGAAUAUUGGUCAAUGGUGGAAACACUGAACCAGCCAUGCCGCGUGGAGGAAUAAGGUCCUACGGAUUGUAAACUCCUUUUGACGAGGAAGAAAAUGUUAGAUUUAUCUAAUUUUGACGGUACUCGUAGAAUAAGCACCGGCUAACUCCGUG